RNAcentral lists this ribosomal RNA (481 nucleotides) under uncultured bacterium. RNAcentral describes it as "partial 16S ribosomal RNA". It matches the Rfam family "Bacterial small subunit ribosomal RNA", at positions 28 to 507 of the family's 1533-position model. The record is from RNAcentral.
GAUGAACGCUGGCGGCGUGCUUAACACAUGCAAGUCGAACGAAGCAUUUAAGACAGAUUACUUCGGUUUGAAGUCUUUUAUGACUGAGUGGCGGACGGGUGAGUAACGCGUGGGUAACCUGCCUCAUACAGGGGGGUAGCAACCGGGAAAGGCUGGGUAUUCCGCCUUAAGGGCACAGAACAACUUGGUCAGGUGGGAAAAACUCGGUGGUAUGAGAUGGACCCGCGUCUGGUUAGCUUGUUGGCGGGGUAACGGCCCACCAAGGCGACGAUCAGUAGCCGACCUGAGAGGGUGACCGGCCACAUUGGGACUGAGACACGGCCCAGACUCCUACGGGAGGCAGCAGUGGGGAAUAUUGCACAAUGGAGGAAACUCUGAUGCAGCGACGCCGCGUGAGUGAAGAAGUAGUUCGCUAUGUAAAGCUCUAUCAGCAGGGAAGAUAGUGACGGUACCUGACUAAGAAGCUCCGGCUAAAUACGUG